This 231-nucleotide non-coding RNA is filed under the name Acholeplasma laidlawii. RNAcentral's name for it is "T-box sequence". It matches the Rfam family "T-box leader". From Rfam's summary of the family: Uncharged tRNA acts as the effector for transcription antitermination of genes in the T-box leader family. The record is from RNAcentral. Lineage: Bacteria; Bacillati; Mycoplasmatota; Mollicutes; Acholeplasmatales; Acholeplasmataceae.
AUAUACAUCAUAAAAAAGAAGAGUAAAACAGAUGAUAUGUUUAAGAGAGUUAAUGGUUGGUGAAAAUUAACACAUAUGCUGAUUUGAAAUAACACUUUUUAGAGACAGAAGAACACAUAUAAAUGUUAGUAGAACUGUACGGAUCGCUUAUCCGUUAUAUAAGCAAGUUGAGCGCUAGAUUAGCUAUGUUAAUCUAGAACUAAGGUGGUACCGCGAUUAUUCGUCCUUAGA